AGACAGUAGCUACAUUUCGGUCCAGAUGACUGCACAGCAGGAGCAGACAAACAUCCAUAGGAGUAAUUGCAAGGAGUUUGUCUUCAUUUGACACAGAAGAAAUCCCAGGGCAGGUCUUCCCCUCAGAAGGAAUGAGGAAAGCAUGUUACCAGCAGCUUUUCAAACUCCUGCUUUUGAUGUGGAUACUUGUGCACACAAAAUGUCCUAUCGAACCCACACGCAACUCCCAAAACGUGUUUUUACCUGUUAAACAGGCAGCUUGACACAGCUUCUUACAAACACACAGCCACAGGAAUACAAUAAUAGUUCACUGGUCCCCAUUACACAAUAAGCAACUCUGAGAUCAGAUUUUAAGAAUGUGGGAUCUGAGAGACAGCCAAGUCUUGUCACUGAGAGAGACAGCAGCUGAAAUUCAUGGAUCUUGUACCAGGUUCACUGGAUGAUACUCGCCCCAUAAAGGAACCUGUCACUUACACGGGAAAAAGUAAGGCCUUUAUUUGCCUCUUUUUUUUUUUUACCUUACAUAAAUACCCUCACCCAUAAUUAUGCCAGAGGAAUAAAGCAGUUGGAUGUUAUAUGAACUGCACCUGGGGGAGGGGGGGGAAAAAAUGCCCCAAGAAGUGUGUAUUUCUGUAUUCACCAGAAAGCCCAUUCGCUCAAUGAAACGGUGUAGUCCAGAGUAAGAAAACAGCUUGCGCUUUCCUGUGCUCAAGCAAAAUAAUUAUAUACCUUGUGUUGCAUUUUUACCCUCAGAAGCACGCUGAGGAUGCUGAAUGGUUAGGGAGUGAUGUGAAUUAGCAGCAGACACUUGAGAAGCUGGCUGCCUCGGAAAAUAAACACCAGAGGAGGCUACGAGAAGAUAAAUACUUAAAUGAUGUUUUGCUAAACAAGGCAGGCGAUCUCAGUGGAUAAAUGGGGAGUGCACCUGUGGCUUCUUCAUGAAGCAUUCAAUCAGUUGCAGCAAUCUUAGCUGCCAAGCCCUUAAAGUGUAC
Molecule: long non-coding RNA, 992 nt
Organism: Calidris pugnax (ruff)
Lineage: Eukaryota; Metazoa; Chordata; Aves; Charadriiformes; Scolopacidae
Exons: 3
Source: RefSeq, a predicted model, not a curated record